This 200-nucleotide long non-coding RNA is filed under the name Elaeis guineensis (African oil palm). RNAcentral describes it as "long non-coding RNA (EGUI_LNC057830)". The record is from RNAcentral. Lineage: Eukaryota; Viridiplantae; Streptophyta; Magnoliopsida; Arecales; Arecaceae.
UGGAUAGGUCGAAAAAUUUGCAAAGCAACAUUCAAGAACCUAUUGGCAUAUGGUUAUCGUAUAAUUCAUCCAUUUGACCUUAAUGCUAAAGGUAACCAAGGGUUUAACUGUCAAUCCUAAAAAGAUUAUCCACAUUAUAUUUCAACUUUCAAAUCUAUCACAUGGACUACCCCAACCGAGGUUUUACUAAAUUGAAACAC